This 2106-nucleotide ribosomal RNA is filed under the name Triticum aestivum (bread wheat). RNAcentral's name for it is "partial small subunit ribosomal RNA". The record is from RNAcentral. Lineage: Eukaryota; Viridiplantae; Streptophyta; Magnoliopsida; Poales; Poaceae.
AUGGCGACGCUUCUCCCAGCCUGCUCCGCCUCCUCUCCCGCAUCCGCCUCCGCCGCGCCGCCCGGCAUGUCCUCCUCCUCCCCAGCUUCUCCAACGCCGGCUGACGCAGCGGGAGGGGCCGUGGAGAAGCCCACGGCGGCGCCAUACGGGUCCUGGAGGUCGCCCAUCACCGCAGACAUCGUCUCCGGUGCCGACAAGCGCCUCGGUGGCAUCGCCCUUGCCAGAGACGGCCGCCUACUAUGGAUCGAGGGCCGCCCCGAGGAGAAAGGGCGUAUGGUUAUUGUAAAGGAGGGUGACAAGCCUGUGGAUGUCAUACCUCAGGAAUUCGCAGCACGCACCCUUGUUCAAGAAUACGGAGGUGGCGCAUUUGCAGUCCAAGAUAAUACUGUUGUUUUCUCAAACUACAAGGAUCAACGUCUGUACAAGCAACCGACUGAAAUUGGAAGUCUGCCCGUGCCUCUUACACCCGAUUAUGGUGCACCUGACGUCAGUUAUGCUGGUGGUGUAUUUGAUCCACACUUCAGCCGUUAUGUUACUGUGAUGGAAGAUCGGCGAACGAGUAACUUGAAUCCCGCUACAACAAUUGCGUGUAUAAACUUAAGCGGUGGGGAUAUCCAUGAACCGAAGGUGCUGGUCAGUGGGAAUGACUUCUAUGCUUCUCCAAGAAUUGAUCAAAACAAAAAGCGGAUGGCAUGGAUUGAGUGGGGUCAUCCAAACAUGCCAUGGGAUAAAUCAGAACUCUGGGUUGGCUACUUCUCUGAAAGCGGAGAGUUAACCAAACGGGUCUGUGUUGCUGGAGGCAACCCAAUGCUGGUGGAAUCCCUUGCUGAGCCUAAAUGGUCUCCAAAAGGAGAACUGUUUUUCAUAACUGACAGAGAGAGUGGAUUCUGGAACAUUUAUAAAUGGGUUGAACAUAGCAAUGAGGUUGUUCCGGCGUACACAUUAGAUGCUGAGUUCACCAGACCAUUGUGGGUUUUUGGCAACAGGUCUUACGAUUUUCUUGGAAACAGCAAUCACAUCGUCUUAACUUACAGGCAGCGCGGAACGUCAUAUCUUGGUGUUCUUGAUUGUGAUUCAGGCUUGGUUUCAUUGCUCGACACCCCUUUCUCCGAUUUGUCCAAUGUGGUUGCUGGAAAUGAUUACUUCUAUAUCGAAGGUGCAUCUGCAAGUGUCCCAAUGUCAAUUGCAAAGGUGACUUUGGAUAAGAACAAAACAAAAGCAAUUAGUUUCUCAAUAGUCUGGUCUUCCUCACCAGAUGUUGUGCAGUAUAGACCUUUCUUCAGCACCCCAGAAUUUAUUGAGUUCCCUACAUCCAGCCCUGGGCAGAUGGCGUAUGCCUAUUUCUACCCACCUUUGAAUCCCAUGUUUCAAGGUUUACCAGAUGAAAAGCCUCCAUUGCUGGUCAAAACGCAUGGAGGACCUACGGCUGAAACACGCGAAAUUCUAGACCUUAGUGUCCAGUAUUGGACAAGUCGAGGAUGGGCAUUUCUUGAUGUUAACUACGGAGGAAGCACUGGAUAUGGGAGAGAAUACCGAGAGAGAUUAUUGGGGAAAUGGGGUAUUGUCGAUGUUGAUGAUUGUUGCAGCUGUGCAAGAUUCCUGGUCGAGAGCGGGAGCGUAGAUGAACAACGCCUAUGUAUAACGGGGAGAUCAGCAGGCGGAUACACUACUUUAGCUUCACUCGCAUUCAGAGAUACAUUCAAGGCUGGAGCAUCUUUGUAUGGUAUUGGUGAUUUGUCUUUGAUGAGAGCAGACUCACAGAAAUACGACUCCCAUUAUAUCGACAAUCUUGUCGGAGAUGAAAGAGCUUACUAUGAGAGGUCACCAAUCAACUUUGUCAAUAAAUUUACAUGCCCAGUAAUUCUGUUUCAAGGGUUGGAUGAUAAGGUCGUACCACCAAACCAAGCACGUAAAAUAUACCAGGCUUUGAAAGAAAGAGGUCUGCCUGUUGCUUUGGUUGAGUAUGAAGGGGAGCAGCACGGGUUCCGCAAGGCCGAAAACAUCAAGUUUACCUUGGAGCAGCAGAUGGUGUUUUUCGCUCGAUUAGUCGGGAAAUUUGAGGUGGUGGAUGAUAUAACUCCAAUCAAGAUCGAAAACUUUGAUUGA